RNAcentral lists this ribosomal RNA (254 nucleotides) under uncultured bacterium. Its description in RNAcentral is "partial 16S ribosomal RNA". It matches the Rfam family "Bacterial small subunit ribosomal RNA", at positions 524 to 776 of the family's 1533-position model. The record is from RNAcentral.
CACGUAGGGGGCGAGCGUUGUCCGGAUUUAUUGGGCGUAAAGAGCUCGUAGGCGGCUCAGUUAGUCGGGUGUGAAACCCCCGGGCUCAACCCGGGGACGCCACCCGAUACUGCUGUGGCUAGAGUCCGGUAGGGGAGCGUGGAAUUCCUGGUGUAGCGGUGAAAUGCGCAGAUAUCAGGAGGAACACCGGUGGCGAAGGCGGGUCUCUGGGCAGUAACUGACACUGAGGAGCGAAAGCGUGGGGAGCGAACAGG